RNAcentral lists this ribosomal RNA (675 nucleotides) under uncultured bacterium. RNAcentral's name for it is "bacterial SSU rRNA". It matches the Rfam family "Bacterial small subunit ribosomal RNA", at positions 8 to 692 of the family's 1533-position model. The record is from RNAcentral.
AGAGUUUGAUCCUGGCUCAGAGCGAACGCUGGCGGCACGCCUAACACAUGCAAGUCGAGCGAGAAAGUGACUUCGGUCGCGAGUAAAGCGGCGAACGGGUGAGUACAACGUGGAUAAUCUACCCUAAGGUCUGGGACAACCCCGAGAAAUCGGGGCUAAUACCGGAUAAGACCACAGUAUCCAAGGAUACAGCGGUAAAAGAUUUAUCGCCUUUGGAUGAGUCCACGCCCCAUCAGGUAGUUGGUAAGGUAAAGGCUUACCAAGCCUAAGACGGGUAGCCGGCCUUAGCGGGUGAACGGCCACAUGGGGACUGAGACACGGCCCUGACUCCUACGGGAGGCAGCAGUGGGGAAUAUUGGGCAAUGGGCGAAAGCCUGACCCAGCGAUGCCGCGUGAGGGAUGAAGGCCUUCGGGUUGUAAACCUCUGUCAGGAGGGACGAUGGGACUUUGUCUUGACGGUACCUCCAGAGGAAGCCCCGGCUAACUCCGUGCCAGCAGCCGCGGUAAUACGGAGGGGGCAAGCGUUGCUCGGAAUUACUGGGCGUAAAGGGUCCGCAGGCUGUCAGGCAAGUUGGUUGUGAAAGCUCAAGGCUUAACCUUGGAAUUGCAUCCAAAACUGCCUGACUAGAGUCCAAGAGAGGUUGGCGGAAUUCCCGGUGUACGGUGAAAUGCAUA